AUAGAAAUGAGGAGGGGUCAAGUGUGUUUUUAGCACAAAACCUGUUUCUUGGUUUAUACUCUUUCAUCAGAAUCUUUCCAUCACCUGCGGUGAGUCAUUAACUGCAGCCCUACUCCCCCUUGCUCAGUGACUCAUGCGUUGUUUUCUGCAAAAUUGCAUGGUUUCAGCAGAAGGAACGGUGAAAAUCCCACAUUCGGAGUAAUCUGUAAUUAAGGAUCCUAGUGGUCUGUUAAACAGAAGACCAGGGUUAAAAUCCAGUCGCAGAAGGGAGUUGAACGUUGCUUUUUUGCUCCUAGGCAGGCUCUGACAGAGAUGGCAGCCACAGCUUCUAGGAGAUUCCUCGUGUCUUUCCAGUUUUAUUUAUUGUAUUGCUUCUU
This 377-nucleotide long non-coding RNA is filed under the name Struthio camelus australis. RNAcentral's name for it is "lncRNA (ENSSCUG00000018264.1)". The record is from RNAcentral. Lineage: Eukaryota; Metazoa; Chordata; Aves; Struthioniformes; Struthionidae.